Molecule: long non-coding RNA, 369 nt
Filed under: Homo sapiens (human)
Lineage: Eukaryota; Metazoa; Chordata; Mammalia; Primates; Hominidae
Description: FGF14 antisense RNA 1 (FGF14-AS1)
Source: RNAcentral
CAACAAGGGCAUGAACCCCAAGAGGCAAGGAUGACAGGAGCCAUCUUGAAGGCUGGCGACCACAGAUCCACACCUAACUCCAAACCACCAAAUUACUCGGAGUGUGUGUCGGGUUGCAGAAAAUGAAAUGACCAUAAUAACUCCAAGACAGAGCAGAAGGUUCAUCUGAGUCAUACCAAAUAACUUCAUUGCUGCUAAAGUAAAAUUUGAAAAUGAUUGAAGUGAUUUUUAUGAUCAGCCUUUUGGAAGUCAUUCAAAAGUGCUGCAAUGCUACUUCAAAGAAGAUAAUUCAAAUUUAAAUGUCACUCUUCAGUGUUGUUUAUCAACAGCUGAGUAUUAAAAUUGGUGAGCUUGAAAAAAAAAAAAAAA